RNA transcript from Quercus robur (English oak), 714 nucleotides. RefSeq lists it as uncharacterized. The transcript is spliced from 4 exons. NCBI's taxonomy places the organism in Eukaryota, Viridiplantae, Streptophyta, Magnoliopsida, Fagales, Fagaceae. The record is from RefSeq and is a predicted model, not a curated record.
AAAACGGUACGUUUCGCUUUUUUCAGUAAUCAGUAAUACCUUGUGUGAAAAGUAAAAGACGGUGGCUCUGUCUUCGUGUAGUUUAAGCUUCAAUCUCUCAAAUCAUUCUCUCUUCGAAAUUGAUUGGCCUACGCUUCCUGUAAUUGUUUGGUUGAAAAGUGUAUAUAGAUGGACACUAGAGUUAGUACUCAGUUAAAAAGUCAGUCGAAGGAAGUGGGUUAUGAAGAGAAGACGGCUGCAGUUCAUGACGAAAUGAAGAGAAUGAACCGACUUCCUGCUAACAGCACGUAUGCUACUCAUCGCUUGCGGGUUCUUAAUAAGAUACUGCAACUUAUGUCCAUUCAGAGAACUGUGGCACAGGAUCAGGAGUUGGAGUUGCUUUUUGCUGGGCUAUCUCUGUGAACCAACCUGUCUAGGUAGUGGUCAGUUUCAGUUGAAUUGAACUUCUGCAACAAGAUUAAGUUUCUAUUUACUUUGCACUAUGAUUUCUAUACCUAUCAGAAUGACAGAUCUAGGAUCCCUCUAUCCCUGGAAACACCUUUCUAUACCCCGUGGUUUGUGUACAAAAGUGAUGCACAGCGCACAUUUCUGGCAUGCUGAUAUUUAGUGGUUGUGAAUAUCUUUCAUACCUAUUCCAAAUUGACAUGUUCUGUAUAUACUGUUUGAUAAUCUGUGGACAAAUAUGCUAAUGAUAUAAGCUUCUUUGAUCAUCAA